AUACGAAGGGGGCAAGCGUUGUUCGGAAUAACUGGGCGUAAAGCGUACGUAGGCGGAAUGUUAAGUUAGAGGUGAAAUCCCAGGGCUCAACCCUGGUACUGCCUUUAAUACUGGCAAUCUAGAGACCGAGAGAGGUGAGUGGAAUUCCGAGUGUAGAGGUGAAAUUCGUAGAUAUUCGGGGGAACACCAGUGGCGAAGGCGGCUCACUGGCUCGGUACUGACGCUGAGGUGCGAAAGAGUGGGGAGCAAACAGGAUUAGAAACCCUAGUAGUCC
Molecule: ribosomal RNA, 274 nt
Filed under: uncultured bacterium
Lineage: Bacteria
Description: partial 16S ribosomal RNA
Rfam family: Bacterial small subunit ribosomal RNA
Source: RNAcentral